AGAAUCCUGCUUAUCCAUGAAAUGCAGUUAACACAUCAGUUGGACAUGUUUCCUGAAUGCAGGGUGACACUUUUACUAUUUAAAGAUGUGAAAACUGCAGGAGAUUUGAGGAAAAAGACCACGGAAGGCACCUUUGAUGGUGCAUUGAUAAAUCCAACAGUGAUUGUCAAUCCAUUUCAGACACUUGUGGCAGCAAACAAAGCAGUUCACCUCUACAAACUGGGAAAAAUGAAGACAAGAACUCUAUCUACUGAAAUUAUUUUCAACCUUUCCCCAAUAUUUCAGAGGCUUUGAAAAAAUUUGGUAUCCCAGCCAAUAAUACCUCAAUUCUAAUUGUUUACACUGAAGAGGGAGAAAAACAAAUAAAUCAAGACUACCUAAUAUCUCAAGUAGAAGGUCAUCAGAUUUCUCUGAGAGAUCUUCCUGAAAUAACAAAUAUUACAGAAGUUAAAAAGAUAUAUAAACUUUCAUCACAAGAAGAAUAUAUUGGAACAUUAUUGGAAAGUAUCAUUUGUAGAAUGUCAACAAAACACGUUUUGUGAAAUGUUGGAAAUAACAGAAAUUUCAGCAUUAAACCAUUAAUUUU
Nycticebus coucang (slow loris) is the source of this 586-nucleotide RNA transcript. It is a transcript of the gene named EKC/KEOPS complex subunit TPRKB-like, with no coding region annotated. NCBI's taxonomy places the organism in Eukaryota, Metazoa, Chordata, Mammalia, Primates, Lorisidae. The transcript has a single exon. The record is from RefSeq and is a predicted model, not a curated record.